CCGCAAAGCGGUAGGGAAAAAACCAAAUGUGAAGUCAGGUAUAUGUCAAGUUCUUAUAUUCAUUAUAUUCUACGUUUUGCUGACAAGUACAGCUUUUGUGAUACUAAUUUCUAAUAAUUACAUUUGAUGUAUGUUUCAUUAUAAUACGUUAUUCUGAUUGGCUAACUGCACAACACGUGUGUCAUACACUUAUCCAGGAAUUACUCUUAACCCGGAAAUUUACCUUUAUCCGACCAGGGAAGAAACAUAUUCUGUGAUAUUUUUUGAACAAAGCAAAAUUUGUUAAGUAUUUCUUUUUAAUUAGAUUUACAGUUAAUUAAUAAGUAUUUAUUGGUAUAGAGUAUUUCGAUUAUUUUGAAUAAUGCACUAAUAUUUAAGUAAUUCUUCUUUGCAAAGGGAGAAUAUAUUAAAAAUUUAAUUUCAUGGAAUGGGAGACAACUGCAACUUAUUACUCUUAAACGGAAACGCGUCAUACGCAACUAUUAUCAGCACCCGCAGUGCGCAUGCGCUAAAUUUGAUCGCAAUCGAUAUCGAUAAAUUUACUAUAGAUUAUUAAAGGAAAUAUUGAAUUUUGGUUAGCUGACAGUAAACAAAAAUAAAUAUCUUUUUCAUUGGCAUCACAUUAGAAAAUACAUUUUCUUAGCUUUCUAAUGACAUAUUUUAUAAUUGAAUCGGGAUAGCAGAAGUUACGGCCAUUUUCAUUUUUAAAAAAGUGGUUCAUUCCCUAUUACUUCAUACAAUUCAAAAUCAAAAACGUUUGCAAAGGAGUUUUCAUAUAUAAUUACAUCUUUCACUAUUUUUAGAAAUAAAUUCAUUGGCAUAAAUAUAUAUUCUUUGCUUUAUAAUCUUUCCAAUGAUAUAUAUUUUAUAUUGUAGAAAAUUUAAUGAAUCGGGGCCUUUUUUAUCCAAAACUGGAGUUAUUGUCAUUGUUUGAAGAUUGCGAGAAAAAUUCUAAGUCCAUGGAAGAUUUAUAUUGAUAUAGUACUUCCAUGGUCCGACCAAGUAAAUCGCUCGAUCACAAGUCACAAAACAAAGUUUAAUCUAUUUGCACAUAAAAUAUUUAUACAUUUAAUACAAUGUUUUAUAUCAGGAAUUUAAAAAUUCAGUAAAUAAAGUAAAACAAGUGUAACUUUUAAAAUAAAAGAAUUUUUUUGUCCAGCCGUCAGUUUUCUUUAUUUUUGAUAAUAUAAAAUCUUUCGCUACUACAUUAACUCAGACUUUCGGAUGUUUUUCGUGAAGCGUUUUAAAAAAAUUGAAAUCCCAUCUAAAAUGAUUUUUUUUUUGGCAAUUUUCUUACAUAUCUUUUUAAAAGUUUUUUUUUUAAAUAAUUAGGCGGCCGUAACUAAACAAUUUUGAUACUUAAACAUGCUCAUCUGAUUUACAUAGAAGUAAUAGAUACAUAUUUUAUAUAUAUUAUUUUCAUGUUCUAAAAAGACCAAUUAGUUUUGAUGAAACAGGAAAAGUAUCAUUAUCUUAAAUUUUUCAGAUGCAGUAACACUUUCAGAAGAUCUUUUGUAGUAGAUGGAUUUGGAAUGAAAUCUUAUACGUCAAAUUUUCUUUCAUCAAUUUUAUACCUUUUCACUGCUUUUGAUUGGCAAUAUGAAUCGCUGUACUAUUUUACAUGUACAUGUGAUGUAUACUAGUCUAUUGCUUGUUUGAUGUACAUUUUCCUUUUAUCAUUUUAACUGUUACUGAGAAAAAUAAAUCGCAUAGGACAAAAUAAAAUUAAUUUUAAUUUGUCUCUCUCCUUUCAGAAGUUUCUAUCGGGAAAUAUAUUUAAUUUUAUACUUGAACAUUUAUGUAAAAUUUGUAUUAAAAAGGAAACUUAUUUUAAUUAUUGUUCUGUUAAUGUAAAGUUUACGGAAAGCUGUCUCAUUCAAUUUGGAACUCAUACCAACUCAUCCCCGGAAAUCUUCUUGCAUUUAUAUUGUACAUGUAUUUGCAGAAUUUUUUAUUUUUUUAUUUAUCGAAUCAUGGAAGUAUUAUAUAUGUCAAUUUAAUACUUCCAUGAUCGAAUGAAUGAGAUAGUUGGAAUCGUUAAAAUUUAAUAUUAUACAUGCAAACAGAUGCCUGCGACCCCUGUUGUUUCGAUUGGCAUGUUUUCUAAAGAUAUCCUUGUGAAGUUCACAAAUUUCAUCAUUCAUUUGAUCACCUGUUGUGAAUUUCAGAUAACACUGUCAAGUUCAGUCAAAUCCGUGGUUUAAAAUUUCCUAUACAUAUCAGUAAUAUUAUUUUCCGGGUAGGGUAUCCCCCCUUUUUUUUUUAUAUAUUAUACUCGGAACAUUAUUGUAAACACUUUUCUGUGGGACUUUCUUUACGGUUUUAGGAAAAUUUGAGAAUAUCAGUAUAUAAAUUCAUUAGUAUGUGCUUCGAUUGGCUUAUAUCUAUAUAAAAAAAAGUAAUCUAAGACUAUCUCAUUAUUGUAAGUGAGAGACCUUUCCAUCCAUCAACGAACAUGUGAAGCGUGUAUAAAUAUUGUUGAAACUGAGAAAUAUGUAUUGAUAUAGUGUCCAUUCUAAGAUCACCUGCAAACUGAUCUUUUAUAGAAAAACUUUGUCACUUCGGAACAUCCAAACUUUUAAAAAACAAUCCAAUUUGAAAAAUUGUCUAUUGUUUUAUAGGUAGCCAGUGAAUGUGAUAGAAGUGCCAAAAUCUGCAAUCUUAUUUUACAUAGAAGACGCUGCUUUUCAAAUCGUUAAACAGUUUGUCUUAACUGAAGACAUUUUUAAAGAAAUUUGAAAAUUUAGCUGUACAUUUAUACUUAUUCAUUAUUAAUACGACAUUUGUCUUUCUUUCACAUAGCAAAAUUAAAGCUAUUUAAAGAACAAUACGUUGAUGUACUGUAGCGUGUUUUCCAUUGUGAUUUAUAAACAAACUGCAUCGUCGCGGGCAAAAGUACUAUUAAACUGCAUCGUCGCGGACAAACGUACUAUUAAGCAUUUAGUGUUGAAGGCCAAUUUUUCUCUCAGAAAUCAUGGCUGAAAAGUUAGAGCAAAUAUUGAUAAACAAACAAUUCUGGGAGGUAACUGAAAAUAAGAGUAAAAUUAGAGACUGAAUUUAUUCUUUUAAUAAAAAAGCAAAAUGUUGCAAUGAGUUUGUGUUUGUGUAUGUAUAUUCAAAUUCUACGCUGUCUCAUAUUCGGGUUUACGUCGAAAGAUAUAUAUAUAUAUAUAUGUUUGGUAAUCAUGAUCUCAUAUUUGUCCUUUUUCGACUUUUUAUUUUGUAUGCAUGGUUUGAUAUUCGGUAAAAUCGAAUUGUAUAUCUUUCGGGAAAUAAAGUCAGUUUAUAAUCUUUAUACAACUCGUAUUCAUGCCGCGGAACCUAGCAUGCUACAGUGUCAUAUAUUUAUAAUAUUGUUUACUUAGGGUAGUCAAAUUAUUUACGAGUGUCAACAUUGUCUUUACAAACUCAGCAUGUUGUCUUGAUAAGAUAUCACACACAGAAAAGACUGAUGAGACGGAUAAGAAAUCAAAAUCAUGCGCGAUAACUCGUACUGGCUUACACUGAGGACAAUAGUUGGCCAUGUUACUCUUAUCCAGAAAAUGUAAUGUUAUAUUAUUGACUUAUUGUUAGCACAGGACGGAAUUUCCAAUAUUUAAUCAACUAAAAAUAAAUAGAGAUAAAUGAACAGUCAAAUCAAAAGUAAUUUUAUUUUCUCAAUAGACUUAUAGCUUAAAAGUCGAAGUAAUUUUUUUGUCAUUUUCAUCUAUAAUGAGACAAUCAUUUGAGUUCUUCUUUUGGGGGGGGGGGACGUGGGUGCAAAAAGAUUUAGAAAAAUAUACCCUUGCCUGGCCAAAACAAGCAUAGUGCAGGAAACAGUUGUGGUCAAAAGUGGAUUUUUUUUUUCGGCCAACAAAUGUAAGCCUGCAUAACUUUAUUAUCGACUCCUAGGAGUCGAUAUUAAGAAUUAAACGAUGCACAGUUAGUGCGUGAAUUUGUCUUGCUACCUGAUUGGAAGAUAUUACGAGACGUGAAUAAUCAAAGUUUAUUGAUUGGUUAGGACAAUCCAAACCUUGUUAAUGUCAUUCAAUCCCGUAGAGUAUCGGAUUUGUCCCCUCUAUUUUAUAUAUAUAUAUAUAUAUAGCAAUUAGAUUUUGCCUGGUCAAUAAUCAUGCAUAUUCAUGAUAUUGGUACACAAGUAACUUUUAUCUAUAAAUAGUCGAAUCUUCUGGAGUUUUGUAAACAACAACGUUAAACGAUAUAUACUACUGCAUAACGUGUGACCUCACGUGUGUGGUAAAAUUUGUUGAUUGAUGCACGUGGCUAUUCUAGUAAAUGACUUAAUCUACAAAGCGAGAGCACUUUCCAUUUUCAUCAGCUAAGAGUCGACUAGCCCUUUUUGAAAGGCUAAUGCUUGUGAUAGAUUACAAUGAAUAGCCAAUCUGCAAAUAUGACCACCUAAUUUGAACUUUAGAAGAUGGCUGUCUCAAUUGGUAUUCAUACCAAUGGUCAGAAUACCAAUUUCGAAAAUUAAAACGAAAUAGCGACGAAACAGACUGAGUGCUAUUCUUUUUUUUAAUUUCACCAUUUUCCAUAUCAGUCUCAAAAAUUAAGUCUGUAAUUUUAUAUCAUAUGUUGGUACUCUUAUCCCGGAAAUAUGAACAUGAAGGGAAAAUAUGAAAUGCAGGGAAAAGUGUCUAGUAACAGCAAUGCUUUAAUGUUAUUGUAACAUGUUUCCGGGAUAAGAGUACCGACAUAAAAUAUAAAAUUACGGGCUUAAUUUCGCGGACAGUAUAACUUUAAUAUAAAAAUCAUUUCACUUUCAAGUCAUAUACAUAAAGCGACGAUGUGUAUGCUUAUAUCUAAAUAAAAAUCAUACAAUUCUAUAUUUUUUUAAAAAGAUUAAAUUUAGAUAGAAAUGCAAACAUUUUACAUUAUGUGUCGAUACCCUUAUCCCGGAAACAUGUUAAAAAGAGAAAAUAUGUAUUAAUAUGCUGCUAUUUUAUUUUUUUAUUAUGCCAGUCCAAAUUCAGUCGACAUGCCAUGCAAAACGUGCCUACUCUGUAUUGUAUAUAGUUUCUCUCCUGAAUAUUUAUAAUAGAUUGCAAUUGGAAUUCGGUGUGAGUCAAUGUUCCGUGUUGAAGGCCGAACUUUUACCUAUAAUUGUUCACUUUAAACACAGUGUGACUUGAAUGGCAAUUUGUCUCAUUCGCACUUCGUGCCACAUCUUCUUUUUUUUUUUUUGUUAUUUAAUCAAACAACAACCAAUUGGUCAUCGAAUUUGAAUUAUUGUUACUUUUUUUAUUCUGUGUAUUUCAUACAAAAUGAUCAAACCAAAAAAUUACCCCACUUGUAUCAUUGAAUAAAUCUAUUUCAUAAUCAUGGAUUCAGUUAAAAAAGCUAUAUACAACAUUUAGAAAACGAAGCUUCGAAACCUCUUCAAUUAUAUUUUUUUCAAUGAUCAAACUGCAUCCAAACCAAACAAUGUCUGAAACAAUCUCUUUAAUACAAGUAUACCUUGUUUGAUAUUACUGCUGUUGUACGAAUUAAGAUGAGACAAUAUGAAUGUUUAGAUAAAAUUGUAACAACCUAUCAUGACAUGCUAAAAUCUAAUAACCUACAAAAACGUACAUAUUUAUCAUUAUAAAAGAUAUUUGUUCAAUACAAUGCAACUCAAAAUACCAAAGAUAGGAAACUAUAACACUGUUUGUCUGUAUUUGUAAUCUCAAGACGCCGACGAAGCUAAGAUGAUUGUAAAUAUUGCGUUACAUUUAAUUUAGGUACAAAACAUCUAUUUGACAUCUCCUAAUUACCCCUCUAUUUUACAUCGUUUAUUGAUUAACAUCUAUUCCUCUGGUUCAUCUGAAUUGUAGUCUUCUUCUUGUUCAUGAUUUCUUAUCCUAAGUAGAUAUUGAACAAGAUCAUAAUUACUGUCCUCAUUCAUUUCAAUAAAUCGUUGUCAAAGCCUAUCCCAGCACCCCAACUCCAUAGAUCAUAAGGUGUUUCGAACAUCUAUUUAGACCAAUUAGAAUUAACUAAUUGACCAUGGCCAUGUCCAUCGUCAGGAGCCCAAGCCAUUGCAUAGUGACACUUAUUAUAAAAAUACUGUAAUUUUUAUUAGGGGCUCGACACCUCAUGAUCUGUCUGACUUAUAUUUUUCUAUACUCUUACAUGUAUCUACUUAACCUUGUUUAUCAAUUUAACGAACAAAGUUUAGAAUCUAUUUUCAUAAUCUGCAACAUAUCAAUUACCCAGAGUUACUGAUGUUACUGUGUCUUUCAAGUUUUUAUGCAUUCGGAAAGCAAAUAGAGGUCUUUUAUCAAAUAAAAUAAAAGUUUUGCCUCUUCGUCAUCUUUUAAUGUAUCCCAGUGAUUUAAGAAAUUGUUCUUAAUGUGUGAUUUCUGUCUCGAAAACACUGUGGAGAAUACCAAGGGAGGCGACUGUAAUACAGAUUUGGCCUUUACCAUUAAUGUGUCUUUUCUUUGUUUUGCAGUUACUUCCUGCAUAACCGGUUCAUAUCCAGAUUUUGUUAAAAAGGGAUGACGUUUAAAAAUAUCACCCUUGUCAAAAAGAUAUUUACAUCUUAGUUUUCUUGCAAAUUCAUUGAAAUCUAAUGCAAUACUAGAUUUUGCAAAUUUGGUCGAGGGAGACGGUAGAUAUGAGUAACAAGUCUCAUCGUCUUUUAUUUUUUCAGUGGUGAAUAUUUUAACAUAUUCACGUGCUUUUUCAAUUGAUUGUUUUCCUAUUGAGAGAGCGAAUCUAUAUCUUUUUAUUUUUCUGAUAGAAGGCCUUUUUCAUGAUAGCCUUUUUGUUUUUUUCGCUGCCUUUUUGUUUUUUUCGCUCUCUGUAAGUGUCUGUUAGCCAUGUUUACAGAUCGGAGGAAAUCGCCAGAAGGCAGUGUGCAAUUCAUUUCUUGAUGUAAUAUUGAUUCUUUAUCAAGCCUGUAUGAACUCACCAACCAAUCAGAUAUCAGUUACUCAUUAGGAAACUACAUAAGGGGAAGAGGAGAACAUCCCUCCUAGACAUUGCAACCAAUCACCAUUCAUUGCUUUAUAAACUGACACGUAUACCAGAUGCAUUUUGACAAUUUGACUUUUUAAUUUAUCAGACAAUCAAAAACCAUACAUUUUUGUUUUGAAAAUCUCAGCACUUUCUUUUCAACUAAUUCCUCUCACUAAAGAAUCUCUGACGUAUUGGUUUUUACAUUUACUUUCCUUGUAUUAUGUAUGUAUUACAACUUUAACAUAAAUUGACAUAAUUAAUCAACCCUUAAACCUUUCGGUAAAGAUAUUUUUCAAAUUUAAUAUCUAUUUUGACAGAAAUACAAAACACAUUAUCAAUGCACUAUUGCUAUUGCCGAUAAUAACCGUUGCAUUUAAUUAUAAUGUAUUAAUUAUGACUACUUAUCGUCAACAAAUAUCAAAAAUUAUCUUUGAUGGUUUUAUUUCUCAACUUUAAAUAAAGAUUUAUUUGUAAACAUUUGUUUAUCAUCAUAAUUACACUGGGUUCAUUGAUAAACUAACCUUCUUUGUUCUGCUCUAUCAAUUAUCUAUAAAUUAAGCGUUACUUAAGAACCAAUAAGAUAUUACACUUUUAUUUACACACUUUACAGAUGUUUGUCAAAAAACUUUACUAACGAAGUGUAUAGGCACACGUUAAAUGUUUUAUCAUCUUCAAAUGACUUAUCUGAUGUUACACAGUUCAGUUAAAUCAUAUCCAUCGCUAGUUGCAUUUAUGUAAUACAAGUGUGUUUAUAAAACUGUAUAAAAUAUUAAAUCAUAACAGAUCACUGGUGGGACUGCCCUUACAGUGUCAGCUUGUAAUUUAAGACGAUGAGGGUAAAACCCAAUUUUUGUAGCAUUGCUGAUGAUAGAUAUUUCCUCCAGUGAUAAACAAAUGUUUACAAAUAUAUCUUUAUUUAAAGUUGAGAAAUAAAACCAUCAAAGAUAAUUUUUGAUAUUUGUUGACGAUAAGUAGUCAUAAUUAAUAAUUAUAAUUAAAUGCAACGGUUAUUAUCGGCAGUAGCAAUUGUGCAUUGAUAAUGUGUUUUGUAUUUCUGUCAAAAUAGAUAUUAAAUUUGAAAAAUAUCUUUACCGAAAGGUUUAAGGGUUGAUUAAUUAUAUCAAUUUAUGUUAAAGUUGUAAUACAUACAUAAUACAAGAAAAGUAAAUGUAAAAACCAAUACGUCAGAGAUUCUUUAGUGAGAGGAAUUAGUUGAAAAGAAAGUGCUGAGAUUUUCAAAACAAAAAUGUAUGGUUUUUGAUUGUCUGAUAAAUUAAAAAGUCAAAUUGUCAAAAUGCAUCUGGUAUACGUGUCAGUUUAUAAAGCAAUGAAUGGUGAUUGGUUGCAAUGUCUAGGAGGGAUGUUCUCCUCUUCCCCUUAUGUAGUUUCCUAAUGAGUAACUGAUAUCUGAUUGGUUGGUGAGUUCAUACAGGCUUGAUAAAGAAUCAAUAUUACAUCGCACACUGCCUUCUGGCGAUUUCCUCCGAUCUGUAAGCAUGGCUAACAGACACUUUAAGGGAGCGACAAAAACAAAAAGGAAGUAACUGCAAAACAAAGAAAAGACACAUUAAUGGUAAAGGCCAAAUCUGUAUUACAGUCGCCUCCCUUGGUAUUCUCCACAGUGUUUUCGAGACAGAAAUCACACAUUAAGAACAAUUUCUUAAAUCACUGGGAUACAUUAAAAGAUGACGAAGAGGCAAAACUUUUAUUUUAUUUGAUAAAAGACCUCUAUUUGCUUUCCGAAUGCAUAAAAACUUGAAAGACACAUUAUUAUUAUGUACUUAACAUCAGUAACUCUGGGUAAUUGAUAUGUUGCAGAUUAUGAAAAUAGAUUCUAAACUUUGUUCGUUAAAUUGAUAAACAAGGUUAAGUAGAUAAGAGUAUAGAAAAAUAUAAGUCAGACAGAUCAUGAGGUGUCGAGCCCUAAAAAAUUACAGUAUUUUUAUAAUAAGUGUCACUAUGCAAUGGCUUGGGCUCCUGACGAUGGACAUGGCCAUGGUCAAUUAGUUAAUUCUAAUUGGUCUAAAUAGAUGUUCGAAACACCUUAUGAUCUAUGGAGUUGGGGUGCUGGGAUAUAGGCUUUGACAACGAUUUAUUGAAAAAAAAAUGUAAUUAUAAGUUUUGAAUGCUUCUUUUUGUAACUUUAUAGGGUUGUAAAAGCGUUGACCGUGCGCACAUUUUUAGUAUGAAGCGCUUCCGCGCUUCAUACAAAAUGUACUUCGGUCAACGCUUUUACACCCCAAUAAAUUUACAAAAAGCAGCAUUCAAUUCUUAAAUAAUGUAGCUGCUAUUUAGGUCUGAUUAUGAUUUAAUUGGCUUUUUCUCUCUUCAAAUCGCCAGAAUCGGAGCGAGUGGUAGCUAUUCAUAGAACCAUCGGGACGAGUUCAAAGUUGUUAAAACAAAUGUAUCCUUUAACUAUCCAUUUUUAAAACGUUUCCGUAGAACAAUGUUAUAUCAUAUUCAAGCUUGAACAUCACCGGCUGUAUUUCAAAAUAAGUUAUUGUAUUCACAGAGAAUUGUUUGUAAAUAAAGCGGAUAAAUUGUACUGAAAAUAGUUUUUUACUCUACGGGGAAUAGAAUAGAUACAUUUUGACAUCAUUGCUUCUUUCCUUCGGAGUAUCUAUAUCCGGUUGUGAUGCUACACAGUGGUAACUAGGUUUGCAAACUAGCAACAGUAAACACAGUUUUAAAAUUAACAUAUAACAUAUUUUUAUUUGGCAUUUUCAGGGGAAAAAAGUGUUUAGUGUGUAAAAUAGUAUUUGACAAUCUUAAUCUUUUGUCACGCAUACGCAACCGUUACAAUUUUUCAGACACUUUAAAAAGACCAGAAAAGGGAAUUCAUGAAAGAAAGCAUUAUAAAGUAUAAAGAUAUGAGCGGAAUAAAGAUUUUCUCAAUAUUUUACAUGGUAUUCUUUCUUCAUACUUGUUUUAGCGAAAUGCAAGGUAAGUACAUAGUAUUACAUGCAAAUAUAUUUAAGAUAAGUUAACAAUUUAAUACGCCAAAUUAUUUCAAUUUUGUUUAGCUCACCUGGCCCGUCUUCGUAGUCCGAUGUCGUUAUCGUCCGCCGUCGUCAUCGUCUGUUGAAUCGUUGAUCGACGUCGUUAACUAUUAUAAAAAAAGUCUUCUCUGAAACUACUGAUCCAUAUUUAACCAAACUUUGCCACAAUCAUCAUUAGGGUAUAUUACUUGUUUAAAAAUGUGUCUGAUGACCCUGCUAGCCAACCAAGUCAAACAGUUGAAAUCGGCUGACAACCCCUUAUUGGAGUUAUUGCCCAUUAAUGACAGUUUUACCCAUUUUUUUCAUUUCUGCAUAAUAACUGAAAAGCUAUAAUGUAUAGAUAGAAACUUAAAUAAGCAAAAAUGAUCAGCAAGACAGGAAUUUACAAACAAGUCAGCAUGGUUUAAAUCGUCUGAUGGACCCUUAUUGGAGUUGUUCUCUUUAAUAACGAUUUUUAUCAUUUAUUUUACGUUGUUGCGUAUAAUCUGAAAAACUACAUAAGAUAAAUAGAAACUUAAAUAAACAAAAAUGAUCAGCAAGAAUAGAUCAACAAAGAAGAGAUUUUGUCAUGGAUUCUAUUCUAGUCCUCAAAGAUGGAGAGUAUAUAUUGUUGAAGAUGCACAUAGACCUAUGAUAGCGACACGGGCUCUUUAGAACCUCUAGGUGGUUUUCUUUAGUAAACUAGUUCUUUAAAAUUUUCUAAUACACCAGGAAUUAGGUUUUGAAAACAGCCAGGCAAGGUGAUUAAUGCAGGAAGGGGGAAAUUGUCACUAUCUUCGGUAUAUGUUUUCGAAACAAAACUUGAAGAACUUGCUGCAAGGGAUAAGUGAAAAUGCAAAUUGAUGUCCUAGAAUAUUUGUGCGCAUGCGACAAUUUCAGAUAUUUGAGGGUUAAUCCAUUCAGCAGGUAUAACUGCUAGGGGGCGAUGUUAACAUGAAAGUCCCUUCUCAGAUGAUAAUCAGCCCAAAACAUUUUACAGAAUAUUUCAUAUUCGAUAUUGCACCUUUAACUGUAGUCUUAGUCUUAAAAUAGUUAGAACACUUAUCGUAAUAAUAUGCAUCGAUUCUAAAACAAUCGAACUGAAAUACAGAUCCUGCGUUGAAAUUUUGCUUACAAGGAUCGGAUAACACUCCAUGCUACUUUCUGUUCUGAUAAUUAUUACACAAGCCAAUAAAUGUCCCGCCUUCAAAUUUUGGAUGGUGUGUAUCAUUACGAAAACCCCAGAGGAUCCCGAAAGCCUUUAAAGCAGAAAUAUAAUGGACUGGGUAUUAUUGAGAUUGUACAUUAACUGCAAGUUCUGAAUAAAAACCUUCUAGGACGAAUACUUGAUGCAGGUUGGUCAAAUGUUAAUUUAUUAAUCAAAACAGAUACCAGGAUCAAAAUUUUAUAUUUUACUCCUCUAUCUAUAAGCUUUGAAAUGGUGUAUAAAGUUUUCUGUAAUUAGGGACUGACGGGUCGCAGCAGUUUAUUCCAUUAUUCAAAAUAAGCUAUUUUUUAAUGUUAACGUGAAUUUCGACAUUUAGGUUUUCCGUUUCUCCUCUAAUAGGUGUUGCAGAACAUAUUGACUAAAUACCUUUUGUUCCUCCAUUGAUAAGCAUUCGAAUGAGGUAUAAGGUAUAUCAGUAAUUAGGGGCUGAAGGGUCACGGCAUUAUUUUGUUUCUAAAGUUUUAUUAUUUAAGGAAUGACUGUAAUAUUUUUUCUGUCUAGUAUGAAGAAAUAACACAAACAAUUUUUUGCACACUGAAUAACGCGCGUAGCGGGUUAUUUAACAGACUGAGUGUGCACCACAUUUUUUUUUAAUGUUAUUUCAAAUAGACAGAAAAAAUAUUACAGACAUUUCUUAUAAUUUAAUUCUAAAUUCUAUUUUAAACCGUAGAAAACCAUGAAAAAAAUUUGAUGACGUCACGGUCACAUGUCUAAAUUAUGUCUAUGGGCUCAUAGCAAAAUAACGUCAGCCAAUCAGAAGACGCGUUACAUCCAAAAUUGAAUUAUUUAACUUUGUAAACCAUACUGAUGAGGAAUAGUUUUGAUACACAACUAGUAUUAUUUAGAAUAAAUAUCAAUAACAGUUGCUACGGAAACGCAUUACAAAGUACUUCCCAGUUAUAAUUUUGAAUGCAAGUUUCAAAGGAAUUGCUAUAUUUUCUUCUUUUAUUAUGUAUUUUUUUAGUGUGCCAUAGUACUAUUAUUGUAAAUAUUUUUGUAGUUAGAUAUUGUGCUAUUUUCUUGAAAACAAAAAUAAUGGUUUUAUACUAACAUUGUAUGUAAAAAGUUAAUCACAAAAAUACUGAACUCUAAGGAAAAUUCACAACGGAAAUCCAAAUCCAAAUGUCAAUCAAGUAAAAGGUCUAGCUAGCUAUAAAACCAGGUUUAUUCCACAAUUUUCUACAUUAGAAAAUGUCUGUACCAAGUCAGGAAUAUGACAGUUACUACCCAUUCGUUUGAUGUGUUUCAGCUUUUGAUUUUGCCAUUUGCUUAGGGACUUUCCGUUUAGAAUUUUCCUCGGAGUUCGGUAUUUUUGUUAUCUUAUUAAUCUACUUUUUUGAUAUUGAAAUGCCUCGUGAUUGCGUUCAACCAAUUAAAUGUACGUUUACUACAAACAUAUACAGUCAAGGGAGUUCGUUUGUCAGUUUCAAAGUAAUUAACUUUUCAAAACACUAGUUUAUAUUGAUAGGGGAUUAUUAAAAGAAUCCAAAAAGCAAAAAAAUAAAAUAAAUGGGUCACCGUGCUUGUUUUCGAGAUAUAAGCCAUUAAAAUUUUGGCGGGAAAAUAUUCUCUCUUGCCUUUUCAUAGCUUUAUCAUUGACAAGUUUAAGUUCUGAAAAACUAUUAAAAAAUAAUUAAAAUUUUAUAAGACUUUUACAGAUGGCUUAUCAUUAUACAUGUAAAAGGUUAACAAAAAGAAAAAUGGGGGUCACCGGGCAAAGUUUUUCAAUGCAUUCAAAUGGAUAAAACCAGAGGAUUCCGAAAACCUGACAAAAAAAUACAAAACAUGACAAGCCAGCUUCCUUAAACACAAGAUCAUAAUAACUGUAAUGGGACAAUUUCAAACAUGUAAAGCUUCCGUAUUUCAUAUUGAUUGACUGAUUGAUUGGUGUUUAACGCCACUUUCAACACAAUUGUGGCGGUCAGUUUUUUUUUUGUUAAUGGAGGAAUCCGAAGUGCCCGGAGAGAACCACCGACCUUUGGUAGGAAUCCUAGUCAAUUAAGAUUGGAGUCGAGUGCACCUGCUCCGUGCGGUAUUCGAACUCACAACCUCAGUGUUGACUGGCUAGUGAUACAAUAGUUCGACCACUUAGACCACUCAGCCACCGAGGCCCCCUACACUUCAUACGUUACGAAAACAACUAUAUAUUUAUCAAUCAAAAUAUCAGAAAUAAAUCAGAACAUAUGGAAGACAAAGGUAGUGACUAAAGACAGACGAAAAGUUACACAAUGAAACUUACAAAAAGGGAAAUUUUGCAUAUUUGCAUGUGCUCAUAUAAUGUCUAUGUGUUAUUGAAUACUUGUAUUUUAGAAUUCAAGGAUAAACAUUCGCUCACCAUUAAUAAAGAAGAAGCUUUAGCGUUCUGGUGUCAUCAUGAAGAUCUACGAGAAUGUGAUGGAGACGUAGGCAAACCGAGGCUGUUUUUCGAACCUGGCGGUCCAUAACAUUGCGUAGGUUUUUUUAAUAGAACAAUGGCACUUGGUGAAUACAGCUGCUGGUGGAGUCCCUGAGGGUACCACUACCUGAGUUGAUGUAUUGAAAACUAAGGCUUCAAAUCUUUUUGACAAAGUGGUACUAUUAAAUCCUGAUUCAGUAAUAAACAUGUACAGUAACCUCAAACAUAUUCCAGCUUUUAUAUACAUCCUUGGCUUUCAAAAUUUUGGGUUUCAUCGUUUCUGAUAAAGACAAACCAAGAACAGCGCUUCAGAAGCACCAUAUAUCGUAAUUGUUAUUUUUAUUUACUAUCCCGGUUAAACCCCACCAUACUGUGUGCCUGUACCAAGUCACAUUAUCUGUAUUUUUGCUCGCUGUAUUUUGUCUUUUUUAUACGUAUAUCUUCUCGAAGUAGUCUGGUGUUUGUG
Molecule: long non-coding RNA, 14009 nt
Filed under: Mytilus galloprovincialis (Mediterranean mussel)
Lineage: Eukaryota; Metazoa; Mollusca; Bivalvia; Mytilida; Mytilidae
Source: RNAcentral